AAAUUUCGAUGCUAAAUAUAAUUGAAACAAACUUAAGUCCAGCAUACAAUUUGAUUGUUAAUGAUGAUGAUGAUAUGCAAUACAAUCAAGCAUAUGCUACAGCACAUUCAUUUGAGCAAGACUAUGCAAAAAUAGAAGACUGAUAAAAUUGAUGAAAGUUCAAACAAACUUCUUACUUAUGUGAUUGAGAAUUCAGCCUUGAUGCAGUAA
This is a long non-coding RNA of Amphimedon queenslandica, 210 nucleotides long. RefSeq lists it as uncharacterized. The transcript has 3 exons. Lineage: Eukaryota; Metazoa; Porifera; Demospongiae; Haplosclerida; Niphatidae. The record is from RefSeq and is a predicted model, not a curated record.